This 22-nucleotide microRNA is filed under the name Macaca mulatta (Rhesus monkey). Its description in RNAcentral is "Mml-Mir-934_5p* (star (passenger))". The record is from RNAcentral. Lineage: Eukaryota; Metazoa; Chordata; Mammalia; Primates; Cercopithecidae.
UGUCUACUACUGGAGACACUGA